GUGUGUGAUCACUUUAGAUGAUUGAUUUGGUAGAGAGUGAGUGGAUGAAUUUGAGAGAAUUUGAGAGUGAAUUUAUUGUUGUUUUUUUUAAGAGAUUUUAAGGUGAAUGAGAUUGGAUUUGGAAGUAAAGUUUGUGAAAAUAAGGGUAGAAUUCAACCAAUGUGAUAUAUAAAAAAUGUUUAAUUGGUAGAAAUUGCAGAUUACUAAAAUAC
This 212-nucleotide long non-coding RNA is filed under the name Vigna radiata. RNAcentral describes it as "long non-coding RNA (VRAD_LNC015410)". Lineage: Eukaryota; Viridiplantae; Streptophyta; Magnoliopsida; Fabales; Fabaceae. The record is from RNAcentral.